ACCUGGCUGGCUCUGUUGGAGGAGCGUGAGACUCUUGAUCUCAGGGUUGUGAGUUUGAGUCCUACACUGGGUA
This 73-nucleotide transfer RNA is filed under the name Felis catus (domestic cat). It matches the Rfam family "tRNA". Rfam says of the family: Transfer RNA (tRNA) molecules are approximately 80 nucleotides in length. Their secondary structure includes four short double-helical elements and three loops (D, anti-codon, and T loops). Further hydrogen bonds mediate the characteristic L-shaped molecular structure. tRNAs have two regions of fundamental functional importance: the anti-codon, which is responsible for specific mRNA codon recognition, and the 3' end, to which the tRNAs corresponding amino acid is attached (by aminoacyl-tRNA synthetases). tRNAs cope with the degeneracy of the genetic code in two manners: having more than one tRNA (with a specific anti-codon) for a particular amino acid; and 'wobble' base-pairing, i.e. permitting non-standard base-pairing at the 3rd anti-codon position. Lineage: Eukaryota; Metazoa; Chordata; Mammalia; Carnivora; Felidae. The record is from Rfam by way of RNAcentral.